UACGUAGGCAGCGAGCGUUGUUCGGAAUUACUGGGCGUAAAGAGUGUGUAGGCGGUGCUCUAAGUUCGGUGUGAAAUCUCCUGGCUUAACUGGGAGGGUGCGCCGGAAACUGGAGGGCUUGAGUGUGGGAGAGGCAAGCGGAAUUCCUGGUGUAGCGGUGAAAUGCGUAGAUAUCAGGAGGAACACCUGUGGUGUAGACAGCUUGCUGGACCAUUACUGACGCUGAGGCACGAAAGCGUGGGUAGCAAACAGG
This 253-nucleotide ribosomal RNA is filed under the name uncultured prokaryote. RNAcentral's name for it is "partial 16S ribosomal RNA". It matches the Rfam family "Bacterial small subunit ribosomal RNA", at positions 524 to 776 of the family's 1533-position model. The record is from RNAcentral.